RNAcentral lists this ribosomal RNA (253 nucleotides) under uncultured bacterium. RNAcentral's name for it is "partial 16S ribosomal RNA". It matches the Rfam family "Bacterial small subunit ribosomal RNA", at positions 524 to 776 of the family's 1533-position model. The record is from RNAcentral.
GACGGGGGGUCCUAGCGUUGUUCGGAAUCAUUGGGCGUAAAGCGUGUGCAGGUGGUUUGUAAAGUUGGAUGUGAAAGCCUUGGGCUUAACCCAAGAAGUGCAUUCAAAACUGCCAAACUUGAGUAGGGAAGAGGGUCGUGGAAUUCCAGGUGUAGUGGUGAAAUACGUAGAUAUCUGGAGGAACACCGGUGGCGAAGGCGGCGACCUGGUCCUAUACUGACACUCAUACACGAAAGCGUGGGGAUCAAACAGG